Molecule: long non-coding RNA, 776 nt
Filed under: Equus caballus (horse)
Lineage: Eukaryota; Metazoa; Chordata; Mammalia; Perissodactyla; Equidae
Description: lncRNA (ENSECAG00000059900.1)
Source: RNAcentral
AUUACACACGGAGGCUGAGAGACCCUGGAUUUCAAGCCAGUCCCUUAAUGGGAUAAGUCUUUGGGCCUCUGAGGAGGAGGAGGAGUAUAUUUUUCACAGGGGAGGAAUGUGAUUCUAACUAACUUUGGAAGCGAGAACCUCGUGACUUCCACCUGGGCCUCUGGGAACACUGUGCUUGGGAUGCUCCCUCUUGGAACCCAGCGUCCAGGCUGUGAAAACCCAAGCCACCUAAAAGGCCACAGUGGACAGCCCUCACUGAGCUCCCUGCCCACAGGCAGAAUCAGCUACCAGCCAUGUAUAUUUAAGUCAUCUUGGUCAUCAGCCUAGGGAAGUCUUCAGAUGACUGCAGCCCCAGGCCAAGAUCUGUCUACAGCUGCAUGAGAGGCCCCAAGUGAGAACCGCCCAGCUGUGCCCAGUCAACCUACAGAACCAAGAGAGAGAAUAGUAACUCACUCAUUAUAAUUCCAGACCGACUUGCCUCUCUAUGUAUCUGGAUGUCAAGGUAGACGGACUAUCCACAGAUAGAGUUGUCAAGGAGGAUCAAAUAAGCAUGUGUUUGAAGAAAGAGGGAAGAGGGUAGAGAGAAUUGGCCACUUUGCAAGUUAAUUUGCAUGUUGGCCAAUGGACCGAUUUGCACAUAUGGGCUAUUAACAUUUAUAAGAAGAUGGACCUAUAUCUAUCACAACGGCAACCUCACGGAAAUGUUUAUUGAAGCCUAUCACCAAGAUUCUACUCAAAAUCUCCAUUUAAAAAUAUUUGUUGGAUUUCCUUGGGCA